RNAcentral lists this ribosomal RNA (631 nucleotides) under Escherichia coli. RNAcentral describes it as "partial 23S ribosomal RNA". It matches the Rfam family "Bacterial large subunit ribosomal RNA", at positions 397 to 1029 of the family's 2925-position model. The record is from RNAcentral. Lineage: Bacteria; Pseudomonadati; Pseudomonadota; Gammaproteobacteria; Enterobacterales; Enterobacteriaceae.
CUGUGAGCUCGAUGAGUAGGGCGGGACACGUGGUAUCCUGUCUGAAUAUGGGGGGACCAUCCUCCAAGGCUAAAUACUCCUGACUGACCGAUAGUGAACCAGUACCGUGAGGGAAAGGCGAAAAGAACCCCGGCGAGGGGAGUGAAAAAGAACCUGAAACCGUGUACGUACAAGCAGUGGGAGCCUCUUAAUGGGGUGACUGCGUACCUUUUGUAUAAUGGGUCAGCGACUUAUAUUCUGUAGCAAGGUUAACCGAAUAGGGGAGCCGAAGGGAAACCGAGUCUUAACUGGGCGUUAAGUUGCAGGGUAUAGACCCGAAACCCGGUGAUCUAGCCAUGGGCAGGUUGAAGGUUGGGUAACACUAACUGGAGGACCGAACCGACUAAUGUUGAAAAAUUAGCGGAUGACUUGUGGCUGGGGGUGAAAGGCCAAUCAAACCGGGAGAUAGCUGGUUCUCCCCGAAAGCUAUUUAGGUAGCGCCUCGUGAAUUCAUCUCCGGGGGUAGAGCACUGUUUCGGCAAGGGGGUCAUCCCGACUUACCAACCCGAUGCAAACUGCGAAUACCGGAGAAUGUUAUCACGGGAGACACACGGCGGGUGCUAACGUCCGUCGUGAAGAGGGAAACAACCCA